This 442-nucleotide long non-coding RNA is filed under the name Homo sapiens (human). RNAcentral's name for it is "TENT5C divergent transcript". The record is from RNAcentral. Lineage: Eukaryota; Metazoa; Chordata; Mammalia; Primates; Hominidae.
UUCCCCAGGCUUUUCCCAUCUCCAUCCUAUUCUCUCGCAGGCAGGUUUUUCUUCCGCCUCUCUGGGGAUUUUCGCGUUGGUUCUCCCUGCCCCCAGGAGUGAGGCGGGUAACGCCCACGCCUACCUCCGGUGCUGGGGGAAAAGAUUACUUCCCAGAUGCAGUAUUUACAUCUCCUCCGCCCUACUCUUCCAACCCUGCCUGAAAUAAGUGUGGUUCUCCUGUCUGUCAGACUAUGAAGAGUUCUCAAAUAUGUCUUUCCCAGCGAGGGAGAGGAGAGUGAGUAUCCAGGAACUUUAAUGCGAUAGGACAUCAAUAUGAGUGUUUAUAGGGAAAGCCAGUGAUCCUAUUGUUAGACGCGAAAUCAAGACAUAUGAUCUGAUUUUUUGUUUUACUUUUUGUUUUUGAGGUAUAACAUUCAGUAAAGCGCACAAAUCAAAAGUG